GAUGAACGCUAGCGGCAGGCUUAACACAUGCAAGUCGAGGGGUAGAGGAAGCUUGCUUCCUUGAGACCGGCGCACGGGUGCGUAACGCGUAUACAAUCUACCUUUUACAGAGGGAUAGCCCAGAGAAAUUUGGAUUAAUACCUCAUAGUAUUUUCGGAUCGCAUGAUUUGAUUAUUAAAGUUCAACGGUAAAGAUGAGUAUGCGUCCAUUAGCUAGAUGGUAAGGUAACGGCUUACCAUGGCAAUGAUGGUAGGGGUCCGUGAGAGGGAGAUCCCCACACUGGUACUGAGACACGGACCAGAC
This 303-nucleotide ribosomal RNA is filed under the name uncultured bacterium. Its description in RNAcentral is "bacterial SSU rRNA". It matches the Rfam family "Bacterial small subunit ribosomal RNA", at positions 28 to 336 of the family's 1533-position model. The record is from RNAcentral.